UACGUAGGGGCCGAGCGUUGUCCGGAAUUACUGGGCGUAAAGCGCGCGCAGGCGGCUCGUCAAGCCUGACGUGAAAGCUCCCGGCUCAACCGGGGAGGGUCGUCGGGGACUGGCGAGCUUGAGGUCGGCAGGGGCUGGUGGAAUUCCACGUGUAGCAGUGAAAUGCGUAGAUAUGUGGAGGAACACCGAUGGCGAAGGCAGCCUCCUGGGCCAGUACUGACGCUCAUGCACGAAAGCGUGGGGAGCAAACAGG
RNAcentral lists this ribosomal RNA (253 nucleotides) under uncultured bacterium. RNAcentral's name for it is "partial 16S ribosomal RNA". It matches the Rfam family "Bacterial small subunit ribosomal RNA", at positions 524 to 776 of the family's 1533-position model. The record is from RNAcentral.